UGCCUCUGGAGAGACUCGAACUCCCAACUUUCAGCUUAAAAGGCUGACACUCUAACCAUUGAGUUACAGAGGC
This 73-nucleotide transfer RNA is filed under the name Terrestrivirus sp. RNAcentral describes it as "tRNA-Lys". Lineage: Varidnaviria; Bamfordvirae; Nucleocytoviricota; Megaviricetes; Imitervirales; Mimiviridae. The record is from RNAcentral.